GAUGAACGCUGGCGGCGUGCCUAAUACAUGCAAGUCGAGCGAACGGACGAGAAGCUUGCUUCUCUGAUGUUAGCGGCGGACGGGUGAGUAAAACGUGGAUAACCUACCUAUAAGACUGGGAUAACUUCGGGAAACCGGAGCUAAUACCGGGUAAUAUUUUGAACCGCAUGGUUCAAAAGUGAAAGACGGUCUUGCUGUCACUUAUAGAUGGAUCCGCGCUGCAUUAGCUAGUUGGUAAGGUAACGGCUUACCAAGGCAACGAUGCAUAGCCGACCUGAGAGGGUGAUCGGCCACACUGGAACUGAGACACGGUCCAGACUCCUACGGGAGGCAGCAGUAGGGAAUCUUCCGCAAUGGGCGAAAGCCUGACGGAGCAACGCCGCGUGAGUGAUGAAGGUCUUCGGAUCGUAAAACUCUGUUAUUAUGGAAGAACAUAUGUGUAAGUAACUGUGCACAUCUUGACGGUACCUAAUCAGAAAGCCACGGCUAACUACGUG
This 497-nucleotide ribosomal RNA is filed under the name uncultured bacterium. RNAcentral's name for it is "partial 16S ribosomal RNA". It matches the Rfam family "Bacterial small subunit ribosomal RNA", at positions 28 to 507 of the family's 1533-position model. The record is from RNAcentral.